This 603-nucleotide long non-coding RNA is filed under the name Homo sapiens (human). Its description in RNAcentral is "PREDICTED lncRNA (TCONS_00267679)". Lineage: Eukaryota; Metazoa; Chordata; Mammalia; Primates; Hominidae. The record is from RNAcentral.
CUAACAUUAGUCACACCAAAGGAGCUCCUAUCUCGGUGACUCUGUAUCCGGAUGCUGCUGUGGGUGGUGGAGGCUGAUUAGGAGACAAGCAUCGCAGAGCUGCUGGAUUCAUCUGCUUCAAAUGUAAGCUGAUUGUAUGCUGUGCCUGCUGAACAUUCCAGACUCCUCAGUAUGGCCCACUGCUCGAGUUUGCCCCUCUGCAGCCUCCAUGAUGCUAUUCCUCCUCUGUUCUCCACAAAGACUGGUCCUUUCUCCUGAGGAAGGGUUCUCCUCAGAGGCCUCCCCUGAACACCUAUCUUACCCCCACCGCCCCUCUGUUCAUACCUCAAUAUUCUCCCCAUCUCUGCCCUUUGUCGCCUUCAUAGCACCUAACACAUUUUGUAAUUAACUGCUGAGUCCACUGACUUCCUGGGCAUUCCUCCACCCCUAACAGGAAAACAAACCACAUGAGAGCAAGAGACUUUAAAUUGUCUGGUUCACCCAAGUGUCCUCAGCACUCUGUAGAGUGCUGGGCACAGAGCAGCUGCUCAGUAAAUGUUCACUGAAUAAACAAAAAGGAUGCCAGGUGCGGUGGCUCAGCCUAUAAUCUCAGCACUUUGGGAG